AUUGGAGGAAAGCAGGGGAUCGCAAGACCUUGCGCUUUUGGAGCGGCCGAUGUCUGAUUAGCUAGUUGCUGAGGUAAAGGCUUACCAAGGCGUCGAUCAGUAGCUGGUCUGAGAGGACGACCAGCGACACUGGGACUGAGACACGGCCCAGACUCCUACGGGAGGCAGCAGUGGGGAAUUUUGGACAAUGGGGGAAACCCUGAUCCAGCCAUGCCGCGUGAGUGAAGAAGGCCUUCGGGUUGUAAAGCUCUUUCAGCCGGAACGAAACGGUCACAGCUAAUACCUGUGACUACUGACGGUACCGGAAGAAGAAGCACCGGCUAACUACGUGCCAGCAGCCGCGGUAAUACGUAGGGUGCGAGCGUUAAUCGGAAUUACUGGGCGUAAAGCGUGCGCAGGCGGUUUUGUAAGUCAGAUGUGAAAUCCCCGGGCUUAACGUGGGAACUGCGUUUGAAACUACAAGGCUAGAAU
This 471-nucleotide ribosomal RNA is filed under the name uncultured Nitrosospira sp. RNAcentral describes it as "bacterial SSU rRNA". It matches the Rfam family "Bacterial small subunit ribosomal RNA", at positions 195 to 647 of the family's 1533-position model. The record is from RNAcentral. Lineage: Bacteria; Pseudomonadati; Pseudomonadota; Betaproteobacteria; Nitrosomonadales; Nitrosomonadaceae.